GGGUAGGGGGGGGUUCAAGGAGGGGUUGGUGGGACCGGUUCCCGCUCCCAGUGCGACCAGUAUGCCCAGUUCCCUCUCCCAGAGCUCCCAGUAUGCCCAGUUCCCUGUCUGAGUGCUCCCAGUAUGCCCAGUUCCCUCUCCCAGAGCUCCCAGUAUGCCCAGUUCCCUGUCUGAGUGCUCCCAGUAUGCCCAGUUACCCAUCUCAGCACACCCAGUAACCCCAGUUCCCUCUCCCAGAGCUCCCAGUAUGCCCAGUUCCCUCUCCCAGAGCUCCCAGUACGCCCAGUUCCCUCUCCCAGAGCUCCCAGUAUGCCCAGUUACCCAUCUCAGCACCCCCAGUAUGCCCAGUUCCCUCUCCCAGAGCUCCCAGUAUGCCCAGUUCCCUCUCUCAGAGCUCCCAGUAUGCCCAGUUACCCAUCUCAGCACACCCAGUAUGCCCAGUUCCCUGUCUGAAGGCUCCCAGUAUGCCCAGUUACCCAUCUCAGCACAACCAGUAACCCUAGUACCCUCUCCCAGAGCUCCCAGUAUGCCCAGUUCCCUGUCUGAGUGCUCCCAGUAUGCCCAGUUACCCAUCUCAGCACACCCAGUAACCCCAGUUCCCUCUCCCAGAGCUCCCAGUAUGCCCAGUUCCCUCUCUCAGAGCUCCCAGUAUGCCCAGUUCCCUCUCCCAGAGCUCCCAGUAUGCCCAGUUUCCUCUCCCAGAGCUCCCAGUAUGCCCAGUUCCCUCUCCCAGAGCUCCCAGAAUGCCCAGUUCCUCGUCCCAGUGCUCCCAGUAUGGCCCCGUUACCCAUCUUAGCACACCCAGUAACCCCCGUUCGUUCUCCCAGAGCUCCCAGUUCGCCCAGUUCCCUGUCUGAGUGCUCCCAGUAACCCCAGUUACCCAUCUCGGUACACCCAGUAACGCCAGUACCCUCUCCCAGAGCUCCCAGUAACCCCAGUUCCCUCUCCCAGAGCUCCCAGUAUGCCCAGUUCCCUGUCUGAAGGCUCCCAGUAUGCCCAGUUACCCAUCUCAGCACACCCAGUAACCCCAGUACCCUCUCCCAGAGCUCCCAGUAUGCCCAGUUCCCUCUCCCAGUACACCCCAGUACACCCACUGCCUCCCAGUCUCUCUGCCCAGUCCCCCCAGUCUGCUCCAGUUCGCACCCAGUGCUCCCCAGUAUACCCAGUGCCUCCCAGUAUGCCCCAUUUCCUCACUCCAGUGCCUCCCAGUGUGCCUGGUCCUGCUCCCAGUGCCUCCCAGUGCCUCCCAGUAUGUUCUGCUGCUCCCCAGGUGCCCCAGUUCCUUGUCCCAGUGCUCCCAGUAUGGCCCAGUUACCCCUCUUAGCACACCCAGGAACCCCCGUUCGUUCUCCCAGAGCUCCCAGUACGCCCAGUUCCCUGUCUGAGUGCUCCCAGUAACCCCAGUUCCCUCUCCCAGUGCUCCCAGUAUGGCCCAGUUACCCAUCUUAGCACACCCAGUAACCCCAGUUCCUUCUCCCAGAGCUCCCAGUAUGCCCCAGUACCCUCUCCCAGUGCUCCCAGUAUGGCCCAGUUCGCCCCAGUGGGUGCGAUGUGCGCUGAUUUUUCUGCGCCCAGUACAACCCAGUAUAUCCCAGUCACUGCCCAGUCGGUCCCAGCGCCCUCCCAGUCUGUCCCAGUAUAUCCCAGUAUCCUCCCAGUCCUCCCAGUUCCCCAGUCCUCCAGAGGCCCCUGUGGAGGCCGGAAGUGCCGCUCUGGCCGAACUCGUCUCUCCCCACGGAAAGGAAGUGACGUAGGAGGGGGGCCAAUAUUGACUUCCGGGAGGGCGGGGUCGCGGUACCGGCCCCCCCUCGUCACGUGACCAAGCACCCGGUGACGUCACUGCAUUGGCGGAAGUGCUGGGAGAGCCCGGGAGAGGCCGAAGGAGCCGGGUGAGGGCCCGGGGGCCGCCCCCGGGGUCAUAGAGAGGGGCCGGGGGGAGAGGGCAGAGGGGCCCGGGCCCGGGGAUCAUAGAGACGAUGGGGGGCGGGCUAGAGGGGCCCGGUACCGGGAUCAUAGAGUUGAGGGAGGGGGCCUAGAGGGGCCCGGGGAUCAUAGAGACGAUGGGGGGCGGCCUAGAGGGGCGCAGGGAUCAUAGAGACGAGGGAGGGGGGGCUGGAGGAGCCCGGGACCGGUGGGACCAUAGAGAGGCGCGGCCGGUACCGGAGUGACGUAGGGGCCGCGACCAUAGAGAGGCCUCCGGGCUGGAUAGGGAGGACUUCCGGGUUGAGGGCACCAUAGAGUCGGGGGGGCCUUAACCAUAGAGUUGUGGGCCCCGAGACCAUAGAGAGGGACCAUAGAGAGGGGCGAGGUGGGGGCUGGAGGACCCCGGGGGGCGGGGCUUGAGCUCCUCGCCCGGUG
RNAcentral lists this long non-coding RNA (2358 nucleotides) under Anas zonorhyncha (Eastern spot-billed duck). Its description in RNAcentral is "lncRNA (ENSAZOG00000008312.1)". Lineage: Eukaryota; Metazoa; Chordata; Aves; Anseriformes; Anatidae. The record is from RNAcentral.